GAGGGUUUAGCUUAAUUAAAGUAUCUGUUUUGCAUUCAGAUGAUGUAGUUAUAUAGAAUUACAACCCUUA
This 70-nucleotide transfer RNA is filed under the name Thrichomys apereoides (common punare). RNAcentral describes it as "tRNA-Ala". It matches the Rfam family "tRNA". From Rfam's summary of the family: Transfer RNA (tRNA) molecules are approximately 80 nucleotides in length. Their secondary structure includes four short double-helical elements and three loops (D, anti-codon, and T loops). The record is from RNAcentral. Lineage: Eukaryota; Metazoa; Chordata; Mammalia; Rodentia; Echimyidae.